Molecule: long non-coding RNA, 3912 nt
Organism: Cucumis sativus (cucumber)
Lineage: Eukaryota; Viridiplantae; Streptophyta; Magnoliopsida; Cucurbitales; Cucurbitaceae
Exons: 2
Source: RefSeq, a predicted model, not a curated record
UUUAAAUAUGGAAUGAUUGCGUUCUCAACUUUUUUGUGUUUAUGUGGUAUAUAAAAUGGCAAGUGUUCGAAAUUUCUCCUCUUCUUUCCAACUUGGAUGAAAUGGUUGAAUGAUAUUAUGAAGAUCAGUUCUACCUGGUUGGUAUUGUGGUGGUCUAGUUGUCGUGUUGUGGUUGAUGUGAUAACUUUUGUUCAUUUCUUGCUUUGAACUCCUUUUGCUUGGACAUUUUUAUUUUUUAACUACUGUUUAUGCUAUUGGUUUGCCAUGAUGGGUCUCUUGAAUUUACUUUCACUUCUACUGGCACCGGUGCAUUUUCCUUUUCUCAAUCCAUUAACUGUGAAACCCGAGUAACAUAUAAUUUGGCCUGUGGGAUUCUGUUUAGUCCUUGAUUUUGGUUUUCUUGGUCAAAAUUGUACGAUAAAAUCAAUCACUUUUCAGUUCUAUUUCUGAACACUGUCUCCUAUCAUCAACAGAUUGAUGACAUGGUGUUCUAAAAGAGGGGGGACUUCUUUUAUUUCCCUGUAGAGGGAGGGUGGAGAGAUUAAAAUGAUAGGAAUUCAAGUGAGAGAUUGGAGAACGGGUAAAAGUCUAUAAUGAUAAGAUUUGUCUCUUUACUAGAUAGAGUGCAUGUGUCUGAGAGACCAUUGUCCGUCAUAUAUCUCUAGCCGAUGUAAAACUUUAUUCUCUUAUCGGCAUUUGAUUCCACUUGAACAUCUUGAAUAUUAACGGACUCAUGGUUACGUAGAUUUGCAUGAUCCAGGAACUAAGAUCAUUUAUCAUGAGCAAUUACUUUUUAGGGUAGAUUAAAUACCCCUUUUCCGUUUUAAAGGUUUGAACUAGAAGUUUCCUUAGUUUCUAGUUUUGAAAAAUAUAGUAAUUCAACUAGAUAAGGAUCUUCUAAAUUGUUAUUGGGAACGAACCGCUGUUGGCAGAUUCGACGAAGGCUUUGAUGUGUUUUUGAGUUUGGAUACAGUUCUCUAUGUUCCAACAAUGAUGAAAUGGUGAAGGGAUUGAUUCACUAUUUAAUUUUGAGGUCGAUUUAUUUUUGUUCAAGCCACUUUUUUGUUCUUUUUUCUAGAGAAAAUCCGAGGUUGACUGGGUUAAAUUAUAAAAAUAUAUCUUUCUACUUUGUCCUUUGUUUCAAAAGCACUCAUAUUUUUUCGGAAGUUGCAAUACCUUAAUUCUUGACCUUACAUUUAAAUAUUUCUAAAUUAAUUUGAUAUAGAAGUUUUUUAGAAUGAUGAGGGAAAACAGACGUAACGGGUGUGGCAGUGACCUAGAACAAAUGUACUUUUUCUUCUUAUUGAAAAACAUUUAUUGGAAAAUAGAAAGACGACAAACAUAAAAACAUAAAACGGUGUUUUCUUUUUUUCUUUUUUUUUUGUUUGUUUUUUGUUUUCGUGCCUAAUAGGUAGUAUGCAUUAACAAUCAUAGUGUGUCCUGAAGAACCAUUCAGAAACAGGUUUGGUUUCUGAAUUUAGUGAUAAAAAGAACUCCAGCCCAAAAUUUAUGGGUUAUCAACUUAAUGAGUAAUCUAUCUAUUCCUUUUUCUGAAUAAUUGAAUGACUUGGAUUUAAAUUGUUGUCUUAUAUUUACAUAUAUUGGUCUAUUUAUCUUUCUUAUGACCUGUUAUUAAAAUGGAAAUACUUAAUCCCCUUCGGAAACAUUAAGCCACUCUAGUGAUAGAUAACCACUUUACUUUUGUUGUCCUAUUGUGACUGGACUUGGAGUGUACACAAACAAUUGAGAAGUUUGUAGUUGGGGGUACCUUAAAUAUCCAUGGUCCAGGUGAAAUCUUAAAAUAGCAUAAUGCCCAUAACCGCUAUUUCAAGAUGUAUAUACAAUUCUUGAAUAAGCCUCAGUACUCUUGUUGUAAUAUUGCAUGCCAAAAAAACCAAAGAACAGAAAGUUGGAGCAUUGUACUUGUUCUUCAUAAAAAAAAAAAAAGAAGUGUCUGAGACCAAACAAGGACAAUCAUAAAAAUGGAUUUCCGCUGAAAGUGUUCCUACUAUUUUGAACAGAACAAGAAGAUAGGAAAGUAACAGAGCGUAAUGCAUUUUGUGGGAAAUGAAGGAACAAGUUUCUUCUUCCCAAGAUGUAAACGUGGAGUCAUUUUAACCAUCUACUUUUUCACUAAGUUUUCACUUCAUGUUGAAGGGAAAUUAGUGUGUGUUUCUCAUUAGGACAGAAAGUAUGAUGAGCAUCAAUGUUGUAGCAACUUCAACUUUAAGCUCUGAUAAGUCUUUUUUGUAUGUGGACCAAAAGCUUAGCUUCCAAAUAUGGACCAGGAAAUUUCAGAGAAAGGGUGUGUUCAGGGUAAUAACAAGCUUUUGUAGUUCAGCCACACUUUCUUAUCUGAAGAUAGGAUUUUAAAUCUUGCAAUGGUUGGAUGAGAAACCCUCAAAAGCCAAAUGAAACUGAAUGAGCUGGAUGAGCAAACCUCUCUGGCGGGCUUGCCUUGUUUUACAUUUCCCCUUUCAAUUCAUGUCAGGUACGAAAUCUCCUCCCCUCUCCACACGUUUUUCCCCACCUCAUCAGCAUCACAUGAACUAAAAUUGGAAUUUUGCUUACUUUUCUUAUCUGAUUGACUCAUCAACAAACACAUAAACACAAAAGAGAAGUGAAGAAAAGUAGUCCACCGCUCCCUUUAAUUCUGCUGACUCCAUUUUUAGAUAUUUCAAGAUGGGACUUAAAAUGUGCAAAGCAGGCAAUUGGGUUUAGGAAAGAUGAUUUACUUUAACGCCUCAUAUUGUAGUGUACAACGUGAGGCAGGGAUUUCACCUCAGUAGUUUGUGAUGGACCUACAGAAAAAUAUUGACAUCUAAUUUUACAUGAUCUAGGAAGCUUAGAGUUUCUAUAACCAUACAUCUAAAACUAAGGUUGUCCUCCUUGUUAGACAUUUCCCAUGCCCAUCCUUGUGAACUUCACGUGUAUGUUUUGAAUUUCACGUGUACAAUGUCUUUAAUAUGGCUUUUCCCUUUUAAGUCAAUUGACCCAAUAAUCUGGGGGCCCCCCCUCCACUCUUCCCUUUGUUAAUUUGGGUUCUUCCUUUUUCCCUGUGGAAUCUGUAUUGGGAAUAUUUUGGCUUCCUCACCUACCUGACUAGAGAAAAAAAGGAAGAAAAAGCUGAGGAACUUUCUCUGUGAUUGAAUUUUUUAAAACUUUUGAUGGGACCAAAAGCUCACUGAUUAAUCUAAGUUUAGAUUAUUUUAUCGUCUGGUGGAUUGUUAUUUUUUUAUUUUUAAGGUGGGACCCUUUCUCAUUUGAAGCUUUGAUAAGUUAUGGCCUAUGAUUUUUGGAUCUUGGGUUGGUCCAAGUAUCAAGUAUAAGCUGAUCUCAUCCAUUCUUUCCCUUUAAGAACAUUCAAAAAGAAGUUUUUCCUGCACUUUUCCAUCACUUUCUUAGAGAUUUUUGUUCCAAUGAAAAUGAAUUUGAGUCAUCUUAAAGAAGGAUUGAGAUUAUGACGAGGCCCACAAAGAAGGGAAUUGAAGAAGAUAUGAAGAUUAGAAGUGGUUCUACAAUAGAGAAUUCUAAGACUAAAUCAUCAUGUAAAGGAGCUACUGGAUUUGUACAAGAAGGAAAAGGUAGGCUGUAUAUAUUUGGUAGAUGUGUUGCUAUGCUUCUUUGUUGGCAUGAUUGAAGCAAUUAUUAUUCGUAUUUUGUAACGAGUUUCAGAAUCCCCAAUUCAACUAUUUUUGUUCAUUCUUUUUCUUUGUGUUUUGUUUUCUUUUCUUUUUCCACUCUAUAUAUCUCUACACCAAUGUGUACAUUUUAUUGUAAUCUUUUAUAUGUGAAUAGGUUUCUGAUUACAAUAUGUCCUCGUUGAGGACGAGAGUUGGUCUUCAUUACCAAGAAAAAACUUCAUGUUAUAGUCCCAACUAUAAUUGAUAUGAUGAGAGAAUGGUUGAUUUA